RNAcentral lists this ribosomal RNA (775 nucleotides) under uncultured Neocallimastigales. RNAcentral describes it as "partial large subunit ribosomal RNA". It matches the Rfam family "Eukaryotic large subunit ribosomal RNA", at positions 20 to 649 of the family's 3401-position model. The record is from RNAcentral. Lineage: Eukaryota; Fungi; Neocallimastigomycota; Neocallimastigomycetes; Neocallimastigales.
UACUAGAGUAGCACUCGCAUAUCAAUAAGCGGAGGAAAAGAAACUAACAAGGAUUCCCCUAGUAACGGCGAGUGAAGCGGGAAGAGCUCAAAUUUGAAAUCUUAAAGGGUUUCCCUUUACGAAUUGUAGUUUAAAGGAAGUGUUUUCUGUUGAGGUUUUGGUAAAAGUUCUUUGGAAUAGGACAUCAUAGAGGGUGAGAAUCCCGUAUUUGACCUUUACUUUCAACUUUGUGAUACACUUUCAAAGAGUCGGAUUGUUUGGGAAUGCAGUCCAAAAUGGGUGGUAAAUUUCAUCUAAAGCUAAAUAUUGGCGAGAGACCGAUAGCGAACAAGUACCGUGAGGGAAAGAUGAAAAGAACUUUGAAAAGAGAGUUAAACAGUACGUGAAAUUGUCAAAGGGAAGCGUUUGACACCAGUGUUGUUUUUCUGAAAAUCAAUUAAAGAACUGUUUAUGCUAAGUUGUUUAGACUUUAUCAGCUAAUCUGUUUAGUUUUGAGCUUUUCUUUAAUGCACUUUUCAGUUAGCAAGUCAACAUCAAUUUCUUUUGCUGUAAAAAAGCUUGAGGAAGGUGGCUUGAGAUUCGUCUUAAGUGUCUAUAGCCUCUUGCCUAUGCAGUCGGAGAGAUUGAGGUCUGCAGCGUAGAUCCUUCGGGGCUAAAUGCAUUUGUGCUAAGUUAUAACAUUUUAUAGACAACUUGUUGACUAUGAUUUGUCUUGUAGCUUACUCGCUUAUGUCAUUUUACCUACGCUUAGGAUGUUGAGUAGCGACAUACGCAC